GAUGAAGAACGUAGCGAAAUGCGAUAAGUAAUGUGAAUUGCAGAAUUCAGUGAAUCAUCGAAUCUUUGAACGCACAUUGCGCCCCUUGGUAUUCCGAGGGGCAUGCCUAUUCGAGCGUCAUUAUCACCCCUCAAGCCUAGCUUGGUGUUGAGGCCUGCUGUCAAGGCAGCCUCUAAAAUCAGUGGCAGUGCUGUCAGGCUCUAAGCGUAGUAAAUCUAAUCGCUAUAGACACCUGGUGGACACUCGCCAGAACCCCCCCCAUUUUUUAAUGAUUGACCUCGGAUUAGGUAGGGAUACCCGCUGAACUUAAGCAUAUCAAUAACGGAGGA
RNAcentral lists this unclassified non-coding RNA (329 nucleotides) under soil metagenome. RNAcentral describes it as "partial contains 5.8S ribosomal RNA, internal transcribed spacer 2, and large subunit ribosomal RNA". The stretch from base 1 to 120 matches the Rfam family "5.8S ribosomal RNA", at positions 35 to 154 of the family's 154-position model. The record is from RNAcentral.